AACGCUGGCGGAAUGCUUAACACAUGCAAGUCGUGCGGUAACACUUCGGGUGACGAGCGGCGGACGGGUGCGUAACGCGUGAGAAUCUACCUUUUAGUGGGGGACAACUCGGGGAAACUCGAGCUAAUACCGCAUAUGUUCUAUGGAAUAAAGCAGGGGACCUUCGGGCCUUGCGCUAAGAGAUGAGCUCGCGUGAGAUUAGCUUGUUGGUGAGGUAAAGGCUCACCAAGGCGACGAUCUCUAGCUGGUCUGAGAGGAUGAUCAGCCACACUGGGACUGAGACACGGCCCAGACUCCUACGGGAGGCAGCAGUGGGGAAUAUUGGACAAUGGGGGCAACCCUGAUCCAGCAAUUCCGCGUGUGUGAAGAAGGCCUGCGGGUUGUAAAGCACUUUCAGUAGCCAAGAUGGGAUUAUUCGCUAAUAUCGGAUAGUCUUGACAUUAACUACAGAAGAAGCACCGGCUAA
Molecule: ribosomal RNA, 466 nt
Filed under: uncultured Gammaproteobacteria bacterium
Lineage: Bacteria; Pseudomonadati; Pseudomonadota; Gammaproteobacteria
Description: bacterial SSU rRNA
Rfam family: Bacterial small subunit ribosomal RNA
Source: RNAcentral